This 253-nucleotide ribosomal RNA is filed under the name uncultured bacterium. RNAcentral describes it as "partial 16S ribosomal RNA". It matches the Rfam family "Bacterial small subunit ribosomal RNA", at positions 524 to 776 of the family's 1533-position model. The record is from RNAcentral.
UACGUAGGGGGCAAGCGUUGUCCGGAAUUAUUGGGCGUAAAGAGCUCGUAGGCGGUUUGUCGCGUCGAAUGUGAAAACCCGGGGCUCAACUCCGGGCCUGCAUUCGAUACGGGCAGACUAGAGUUCGGUAGGGGAGUCUGGAAUUCCUGGUGUAGCGGUGAAAUGCGCAGAUAUCAGGAGGAACACCGGUGGCGAAGGCGGGACUCUGGGCCGAUACUGACGCUGAGGAGCGAAAGCGUGGGGAGCAAACAGG